Molecule: long non-coding RNA, 483 nt
Organism: Talpa occidentalis (Iberian mole)
Lineage: Eukaryota; Metazoa; Chordata; Mammalia; Eulipotyphla; Talpidae
Exons: 4
Source: RefSeq, a predicted model, not a curated record
CUAUAUAACUUUUCCAACUGUAUGAGUCUUUAUAGUUGAAAUGUUUAGUAAAAUAAUUUCCUAACAAGUUUUGAACAGAUAUAAAGUUUACUGUUCACAACUUUGAAAAUGCCAAAAAUAUAAGAAAACGUAGAAACAAUUUUCAUUUUGUACACAUCCAUAUUGCCAUGUCUCAUAGUUUUGCAAAUUCUCUGUGCUUGUGUCACAGGUCACAACCUCAGGAGAUUUUUUAAGCGUGAUAGGAAACCACUGCCAUCCAUGGAGGGCCUGGAAAGAUCUUAGAAUAUUGUCAUAUGUCCUUGGGCAGCUUCUAGGAGCAAGGAAGGCAAACAGAAUGUAUACUGAUGGGAGAAGAGACGGUGGUACUAGAAGACACUUACGAGCUAAGAAAUAUCUGGAGGAUAUGGAGAGAUAAAUCACUGCACCUUCCAAGAUGAUUCUGAACAACCACUCAAACUAUUCUUUAAUGCCCAGAAAUGUAUG